Onychomys torridus (southern grasshopper mouse) is the source of this 846-nucleotide long non-coding RNA. RefSeq lists it as uncharacterized. The record is from RefSeq and is a predicted model, not a curated record. NCBI's taxonomy places the organism in Eukaryota, Metazoa, Chordata, Mammalia, Rodentia, Cricetidae. The transcript has 6 exons.
GUAUUUUAAUUUUUAUCUUAUUAAGACAGAACUUUUUCAUUCUGUCUUGAGUAUAUUUUCGAACAAAAGGGCAAGGGGGCUGCUUGUGCCUUGGGACUUUGCAUGCUGUGUGGUGACUGUCUUUCCAUUUGGAAUAUCCUGUAGCAUCUCUGUGAUGGCUCCUGGUGCUGGACUUGAUGGAGCAAUGGGCAGGUGAGAAGUGGGCCUAUCCUGGAGCUUCCAGCGGAGAAAUUCAGGAUAGUGUCUGCACUUGGAUGCAGUAAGUGUUGAAGAGAAAAGGAAGGAGAAAGUAAGGGGACAAAAAGCUCCAUGCCAGCCCCUGGCAUAGCUCCCAGGACGGCACUCCGACCACUGCCACCAAGAUCCAAGUGGAAUCGAGGUGGCCAAGUUCUGUGGGAAGGGUUGCCAGUGUUCCUGCUGCUGGGAUGCUCAGCUAGAUGAUGCUUAUCCAUGAUGAUGAUGGUCCAUGGACGCCCUUUACAGUUGGAUGUAAACUUCCCUGGAGAGGCACCUCACAAAGAAAUAAGUGCAUGGCCAUAUGAUAUUUUAAACAAGAAGUGACAUGCUUGUUGAAAACCACAUUGGAAGAGCAUCAAUUUGGCCACAUGCAGAAGGGACUAAAGAGAAACCUGGAGGAACAAGGAGGAGUGGGCAGUUGGCAGCCGUUCGAGGGCACCAUCAUCCGCUGUGCACCGUCUGGACGGGGAAGUGCAGGGUUGCAGAGCCAUGGAUGUAGCAUGGAAGGCCAAUUCAGCGACUGGACGGCAUGGUCUGUCUUAUCCUACUUCUUCGGGAUUCUGGCGUACACUGAAGACCAGCUGAGACAUCCAGCCUCAUGGACCGAAC